AGCAGCCGCGGUAAUUCCAGCUCCAAUAGCGUAUAUUAAAGUUGUUGCAGUUAAAAAGCUCGUAGUUGAAUUUCGAGAUCAAAUUGUUGGUCGUGCCUUGGUACGCACUGGCAUUAUUGGUUUCUCCCUUCUGACGAACCAUGAUGUCAUUAAUUUGGUGUCUUGGGGAAUCAGGACUGUUACUUUGAAAAAUUAGAGUGUUUAAAGCAGGCUCACGCUUGAAUACAUUAGCAUGGAAUAAUGAAAUAGGACGUUUGAUUCUAUUUUGUUGGUUUCUAGGAUCGACGUAAUGAUUAAUAGGGAUAGUUGGGGCAUUAGUAUUCAAUUGUCAGAGGUGAAAUUCUUGGAUUUAUUGAAGACUGACUACUGCGAAAGCAUUUGCCAAGGAUGUUUUACAUUAAUCAAGAACGAAAGUUAGGGGAUCGAAGACGAUCAGAUACCGUCGUAGUC
RNAcentral lists this ribosomal RNA (450 nucleotides) under uncultured Glomus. RNAcentral's name for it is "SSU rRNA". It matches the Rfam family "Eukaryotic small subunit ribosomal RNA", at positions 569 to 1025 of the family's 1831-position model. The record is from RNAcentral. Lineage: Eukaryota; Fungi; Glomeromycota; Glomeromycetes; Glomerales; Glomeraceae.